CUUCCUGGUGGCGAGCGGCGGACGGGUGAGUAAUGCAUAGGAAUCUGCCCGAUAGUGGGGGAUAACCUGGGGAAACCCAGGCUAAUACCGCAUACGUCCUACGGGAGAAAGCAGGGGCUCUUCGGACCUUGCGCUAUCGGAUGAGCCUAUGUCGGAUUAGCUAGUUGGUGAGGUAAUGGCUCACCAAGGCGACGAUCCGUAGCUGGUCUGAGAGGAUGAUCAGCCACAUCGGGACUGAGACACGGCCCGAACUCCUACGGGAGGCAGCAGUGGGGAAUAUUGGACAAUGGGCGCAAGCCUGAUCCAGCCAUGCCGCGUGUGUGAAGAAGGCCUUCGGGUUGUAAAGCACUUUCAGUGAGGAAGAACGCCUUGGGCCUAAUACGCCCAAGGGAAGACAUCACUCACAGAAGAAGCACCGGCUAACUCCGUGCCAGCAGCCGCGGUAAUACGGAGGGUGCGAGCGUUAAUCGGAAUUACUGGGCGUAAAGCGCGCGUAGGUGGCUUGAUAAGCCGGUUGUGAAAGCCCCGGGCUCAACCUGGGAACGGCAUCCGGAACUGUCAGGCUAGAGUGCAGGAGAGGAAGGUAGAAUUCCCGGUGU
RNAcentral lists this ribosomal RNA (599 nucleotides) under Franzmannia qiaohouensis. RNAcentral's name for it is "bacterial SSU rRNA". It matches the Rfam family "Bacterial small subunit ribosomal RNA", at positions 81 to 676 of the family's 1533-position model. Lineage: Bacteria; Pseudomonadati; Pseudomonadota; Gammaproteobacteria; Oceanospirillales; Halomonadaceae. The record is from RNAcentral.